This 379-nucleotide ribosomal RNA is filed under the name uncultured bacterium. Its description in RNAcentral is "bacterial SSU rRNA". It matches the Rfam family "Bacterial small subunit ribosomal RNA", at positions 524 to 898 of the family's 1533-position model. The record is from RNAcentral.
UACGAGUGGUGCGAGCAUUAUUCGGAAUCAUUGGGCGUAAAGGGUGUGUAGGCGGUAUAUCAAGUCUGUUGUUAAAUCUCCCAGCCUAACUGGGAAAAUGCGGUGGAAACUGGUGUACUAGAAGAUGGAAGAGAGAAGUGGAAUUCUCGGAGUAGCGGUAAAAUGCGUAGAUCUCGAGAGGAACACCAAUGGCGAAGGCAGCUUCUUGGUCCAAUCUUGACGCUGAGGCACGAAAGCGUGGGUAGCAAACAGGAUUAGAUACCCUGGUAGUCCACGCCCUAAACGAUGAUCACUUGAUGUUGGUUUUGCUUUUUGCGAAGUCAGUAUCGUAGCUAACGCGAUAAGUGAUCCGCCUGGGAACUACGGUCGCAAGACUAAA